GAUCUAUCCAUGAGCAGGUUGAAGGUUGGGUAACACUAACUGGAGGACCGAACCCACUGUCGUUGAAAAGCCAGGGGAUGACUUGUGGAUAGGGGUGAAAGGCUAAUCAAGCCUGGUGAUAGCUGGUUCUCCCCGAAAGCUAUUUAGGUAGCGCCUCGGACGAAUACCAUAGGGGGUAGAGCACUGUUUCGGCUAGGGGGUCAUCCCGACUUACCAAACCGAUGCAAACUCCGAAUACCUAUGAGUACUAUCCGGGAGACAGACUGCGGGUGCUAACGUCCGUAGUCAAGAGGAAAACAAUCCAGACCGCCAGCUAAGGCCCCAAAAUCAUAGUUAAGUGGGAAACGAUGUGGGAAGGCAUAGACAGCUAGGAGGUUGGCUUAGAAGCAGCCACCCUUUAAAGAAAGCGUAAUAGCUCACUAGUCGAGUCGGCCUGCGCGGAAGAUGUAACGGGGCUAAAACUAUGUGCCGAAGCUGCGGAUGUAUACUUUGUAUACGUGGUAGGGGAGCGUUCUGUAAGCCGAUGAAGGUGUGUUGAGAAGCAUGCUGGAGGUAUCAGAAGUGCGAAUGCUGACGUGAGUAACGACAAAACGGGUGAAAAACCCGUUCGCCGAAAGACCAAGGGUUCCAGUCCAACGUUAAUCGGGGCUGGGUGAGUCGACCCCUAAGGCGAGGCCGAAAGGCGUAGUCGAUGGGAAAAUGGUUAAUAUUCCAUUACUUCUGUGUAAUGCGAUGAGAGGACGGAGAAGGCUAAAUCAGCCUGGCGUUGGUUGUCCAGGUGAAAGGAUGUAGGCAUGUAUCUUAGGCAAAUCCGGGGUACUCUAUGCUGAGAUCUGAUAGCAAGCUGUACUUGUACAGCGAAGUGGUUGAUGCCAUGCUUCCAGGAAAAGUCUCUAAGCUUCAGUUACACAGGAAUCGUACCCGAAACCGACACAGGUGGUCAGGUCGAGUAGACCAAGGCGCUUGAGAGAACUCUGCUGAAGGAACUAGGCAAAAUGGUACCGUAACUUCGGGAGAAGGUACGCUGUUGUUGGUGAUGGAACUCGCUUCCUGAGCUGACGACAGCCGCAGAAACCAGGCCGCUGCAACUGUUUAUUAAAAACAUAGCACUCUGCAAACACGAAAGUGGACGUAUAGGGUGUGAUGCCUGCCCGGUGCUGGAAGGUUAAUUGAUGGGGUUAGCGUAAGCGAAGCUCUUGAUCGAAGCCCCAGUAAACGGCGGCCGUAACUAUAACGGUCCUAAGGUAGCGAAAUUCCUUGUCGGGUAAGUUCCGACCUGCACGAAUGGCAUAAUGAUGGCGGCGCUGUCUCCAGCAGAGGCUCAGUGAAAUCGAAAUCGCUGUGAAGAUGCAGUGUACCCGCGGCUAGACGGAAAGACCCCGUGAACCUUUACUGCAGCUUGACACUGAACUUUGACCUUACUUGUGUAGGAUAGGUGGGAGGCUUUGAAGCUGGAACGCUAGUUCCAGUGGAGCCGUCCUUGAAAUACCACCCUGGUAAUGUUGAGGUUCUAACUCUGUCCCGUGAUCCGGGACGAGGACCGUGUCUGGUGGGUAGUUUGACUGGGGCGGUCUCCUCCUAAAGAGUAACGGAGGAGUACGAAGGUGCGCUCAGCGUGGUCGGAAAUCACGCGUAGAGUAUAAAGGCAAAAGCGCGCUUAACUGCGAGACCCACAAGUCGAGCAGGUACGAAAGUAGGUCUUAGUGAUCCGGUGGUUCUGUAUGGAAGGGCCAUCGCUCAACGGAUAAAAGGUACUCUGGGGAUAACAGGCUGAUACCGCCCAAGAGUUCAUAUCGACGGCGGUGUUUGGCACCUCGAUGUCGGCUCAUCUCAUCCUGGGGCUGAAGCAGGUCCCAAGGGUAUGGCUGUUCGCCAUUUAAAGAGGUACGCGAGCUGGGUUUAGAACGUCGUGAGACAGUUCGGUCCCUAUCUACCGUGGGCGCUGGAAAUUUGAGAGGAUCUGCUCCUAGUACGAGAGGACCAGAGUGGACGAACCUCUGGUGUACCGGUUGUGACGCCAGUCGCAUCGCCGGGUAGCUAUGUUCGGAAGGGAUAACCGCUGAAAGCAUCUAAGCGGGAAGCCUACCUCAAGAUAAGAUUUCCCUAGGACUUUAUGUCCUCUAAAGAGCCGUUCGAGACUAGGACGUUGAUAGGUUGGAUGUGGAAGCAUAGUGAUAUGUGAAGCUGACCAAUACUAAUUGCUCGUGAGGCUUGACUAU
This 2219-nucleotide ribosomal RNA is filed under the name Acinetobacter baumannii. Its description in RNAcentral is "partial 23S ribosomal RNA". It matches the Rfam family "Bacterial large subunit ribosomal RNA", at positions 727 to 2925 of the family's 2925-position model. The record is from RNAcentral. Lineage: Bacteria; Pseudomonadati; Pseudomonadota; Gammaproteobacteria; Moraxellales; Moraxellaceae.